Nothoprocta perdicaria is the source of this 400-nucleotide long non-coding RNA. RefSeq lists it as uncharacterized. The record is from RefSeq and is a predicted model, not a curated record. Lineage: Eukaryota; Metazoa; Chordata; Aves; Tinamiformes; Tinamidae. The transcript has 3 exons.
GUGCAUGUAUUUGACUCAGCCACCCCUGCCUAAGGAUCUGGAUCCUGRCCAGCAGCACCUGACCUCAGACCAUCUCAUCAGUAUGGACCUGCCUGGGGAUUACUGGUCUGUGUUUAAACCUGGUCUCCAGACCUGAUCCUGACCUAGGCUCAUUGACUUGCCUUUGUAAUUUGACUUCAAACCUGGUGACCUUGGACUUGCCUGAGAACCUGGCCUCUCACCUGCCCCUGGGGAACUGGAGACUAGAGAGUUGGAGUCCCUCCGUGCCAUCUGAGACCCCUGAUGGCCAUGAUACGAGGACAGCAGAGCUGAGUCUCUGGCACCCCGGCCCUUCUUGGGAUGUCACAGAUCUGAGGAGGGGAGUUUGCAUGGAGCCUAAAGGURCUCCUUGCACCAUCCU